Long non-coding RNA from Tupaia belangeri chinensis (Chinese tree shrew), 1730 nucleotides. RefSeq lists it as uncharacterized. Lineage: Eukaryota; Metazoa; Chordata; Mammalia; Scandentia; Tupaiidae. The transcript has 3 exons. The record is from RefSeq and is a predicted model, not a curated record.
GGGAUCGUGUCAACUAGCUAAAGAGACUCUUCAGAUUUAUAUACCCUGGAAAACGGUUAAUAAGUUGAUGCCAAAUAAUACGAGGACACCUUAAAUUUCAUGUAAAAGCAGAAUCAUUUUGGCAUAAAAGUUAGGUUGUGGGUGGUUUUUUUUUUGGUAUCAACCGCAAGUGGUUCUUAACUCAUGUACAUGUUCCACGAACUUUUUGAAGCUCAUCCCUCUUCCCUGGCCAGCCUGAGGAGAAGAAACUUAAAAUACUGUAAUAACAUAAUGAAAAGAACCAGGUGUAGAUUGAGGCUGCUCUUACGUUUUUGGAAAAUAAUAUAGGACACUAGGUCCUAUAUUACCUGAGUUAGAAAAUUGCAGGCUCACCAGUUUUUAAGACUGGGAAAUUUAUGAAGAUGAAAAGUUCAUUCAGCUUUGGUUCUAAGGUGAAGGGGCAGCAUCUGAUGGUGGGGGCUCUCUGCAAGUUGAUCAGGCUGUGCUGGGCAAGAACAUCUAUCAACUCUGGUCUCUCCUCUUGUAAAGCCACCACUGUUCAUGCCCCCCACACCAUGACCUUGUCUAAUCUUAAUUACCUUCCAUAGGUCUCACCUCUUCAUGUCAUUACGAGAUUAAAUUGCCUUAAUACCUUGGUGAUGCCAAGCAGUUUUCAAUACAUGAAUUUAGGGGAGGUGUAUUCAAACCAUAGCUUGCUUUUAUUAAGAAACAUUUAGUUGAGACCUCCCUUCACAUUUGUUGUGGCACUGGUAAAUUCUACCUGGGUUCUGGCAUGCUUCACUCUGAUUUCCUGCUAUCCUCUACUGCUUGCUUCUAAAUCAAGAUAAAGAGCAGGAAUACAUUGAUACCCGAUUGGUCUUGAUUAGUUGGUGUAAUUGAAAAACAGGUGUUAAUCCUUGAUAAUUAGUUUUAGAGACAGUAUUGUUUAAUACAAAACUUAACAGUAAUGACAUUUUGUUGGGGAUGGAAGUUGGCUAAACUGAAAAGUGAGACAGCAUGAUACAUAAAAAUGUUUUGUACAACAUUAAGAGAUUCAUGCAAAAUUUAGCAACUUUUUCUGCAUAGCAGCUAUAUUUUACAUUCAAUAUCAAAAUAAUACGGUGUUUGAUAUAACUAUAUCAAGUUUAAGAUUUCUUUAACCUUGAUAUUAUUUUUUAAUUACAGAUGGUUGUGAUCUACAUUUUAAAAUAUCAAGACGUCUCCUCAAGAGCUUCUUCCCUUACUGUGGAGAAUUUUGCCUUUUUUGGGGGGCAGGAUAAGAGCAUCUCAUGAUGUGUCAGAAGGCAAAAUGUUUUGAGAUGAAGGGAUUUGACUUCAGGUCACAGAGAAGAUCUGACAUUUUGUAUGAAAGAUAAUCGACAUAUGUGCAGUUGGAAUGGCUAGUCAAGAGCAACGAUGAACUUUGAAAACGAAUUGUAGAACUCCUCUAAGAAUGGAUAAGAUCUUGACAUUACCUUCAAAAUCAGUAAGGAAGCUCUUGAUGGAUGGCACUCUUCACAUGCAUUCUCUGCUACACCUGUAUAGCUGAAUUUAAGUUUGUUCAGAAGGAAAAGCCAUGCAUCUUUGUACUAUUUAAAUACUAUGCUUAUGUAUAACCCAAAAUGUCUUUUUAUUUAUUUACUUAUUUAGGAUAGGUUUCUGCUAUUAAGAGCAUGCACUUAUCAGAAAGUGUGAAGUCACCCCUGAGUAGGGAUGGCUAUACUGCAGUCCCUUCGUCUCCAUUCUCCUCU